This 73-nucleotide transfer RNA is filed under the name Dunaliella salina. RNAcentral's name for it is "tRNA-Met". It matches the Rfam family "tRNA". From Rfam's summary of the family: Transfer RNA (tRNA) molecules are approximately 80 nucleotides in length. Their secondary structure includes four short double-helical elements and three loops (D, anti-codon, and T loops). Further hydrogen bonds mediate the characteristic L-shaped molecular structure. tRNAs have two regions of fundamental functional importance: the anti-codon, which is responsible for specific mRNA codon recognition, and the 3' end, to which the tRNAs corresponding amino acid is attached (by aminoacyl-tRNA synthetases). tRNAs cope with the degeneracy of the genetic code in two manners: having more than one tRNA (with a specific anti-codon) for a particular amino acid; and 'wobble' base-pairing, i.e. permitting non-standard base-pairing at the 3rd anti-codon position. The record is from RNAcentral. Lineage: Eukaryota; Viridiplantae; Chlorophyta; Chlorophyceae; Chlamydomonadales; Dunaliellaceae.
GCCUGCUUAGCUCAGUGGUAGAGCGUCUGUUUCAUAAGCCGAUGGUUCGCUAGUUCGAAUCUAGCAGCAGGCA